GUCCAUUACACUGCCAUCAGCUAUAACAAUCCCCGCAAAUACCUCAGCAGUGCUGGAGAAAGAGCGAUGGUGGAAUUUAAUAUUGUAGAAGGAAGGAAAGAAGGGACCACAGGCGGCUAAUGUCACUGUCACCGUCCAGGACAAUCUGAAAACAACGAAAGUUGUCUCCAAGACUCCUGAUUAGGAGAUGAUUAAGCUGAAAGAGCAGGAAGCACAUCUGAGGAAGGAACUGGAAGGUGCGAAAGAUUACUUCCAGGAAGAGUUGGCAGCUCUGAAUGACGAUUACAACAAAGACCUGAAAGCCAC
Thalassophryne amazonica is the source of this 306-nucleotide long non-coding RNA. RefSeq lists it as uncharacterized. NCBI's taxonomy places the organism in Eukaryota, Metazoa, Chordata, Actinopteri, Batrachoidiformes, Batrachoididae. The record is from RefSeq and is a predicted model, not a curated record. The transcript has 2 exons.